GACGAACGCUGGCGGCGUGCUUAACACAUGCAAGUCGAACGGAAAGGCCCUGCUUUUGUGGGGUGCUCGAGUUGCGAACGGGUGAGUAACACGUGAGUAACCUGCCCUUGACUUUGGGAUAACUUCAGGAAACUGGGGCUAAUACCGGAUACGAGCUCCUGCGGCAUUGUGGUGGUGGGAAAGUUUCGGCGGUUGGGGAUGGAUUCGCGGCUUAUGAGCUUGUUGGUGGGGUAGUGGCUUACCAAGGCUUUGACGGGUAGCCGGCCUGAGAGGGUGACCGGCCACAUUGGGACUGAGAUACGGCCCAGACUCCUACGGGAGGCAGCAGUGGGGAAUAUUGCACAAUGGGCGGAAGCCUGAUGCAGCAACGCCGCGUGCGGGAUGACGGCCUUCGGGUUGUAAACCGCUUUCGCCUGUGACGAAGCGUGAGUGACGGUAAUGGGUAAAGAAGCACCGGCUAACUACGUG
This 468-nucleotide ribosomal RNA is filed under the name uncultured bacterium. Its description in RNAcentral is "partial 16S ribosomal RNA". It matches the Rfam family "Bacterial small subunit ribosomal RNA", at positions 28 to 507 of the family's 1533-position model. The record is from RNAcentral.